RNAcentral lists this ribosomal RNA (465 nucleotides) under Vreelandella stevensii. RNAcentral describes it as "partial 16S ribosomal RNA". It matches the Rfam family "Bacterial small subunit ribosomal RNA", at positions 338 to 795 of the family's 1533-position model. The record is from RNAcentral. Lineage: Bacteria; Pseudomonadati; Pseudomonadota; Gammaproteobacteria; Oceanospirillales; Halomonadaceae.
CCUACGGGUGGCAGCAGUGGGGAAUAUUGGACAAUGGGGGGAACCCUGAUCCAGCCAUGCCGCGUGUGUGAAGAAGGCCCUCGGGUUGUAAAGCACUUUCAGUGAGGAAGAACGCCUGGUGGUUAAUACCCAUCAGGAAAGACAUCACUCACAGAAGAAGCACCGGCUAACUCCGUGCCAGCAGCCGCGGUAAUACGGAGGGUGCGAGCGUUAAUCGGAAUUACUGGGCGUAAAGCGCGCGUAGGUGGCUUGAUAAGCCGGUUGUGAAAGCCCCGGGCUCAACCUGGGAACGGCAUCCGGAACUGUCAAGCUAGAGUGCAGGAGAGGAAGGUAGAAAUCCCGGUGUAGCGGUGAAAUGCGUAGAGAUCGGGCGGAAUACCAGUGGCGAAGGCGGCCUUCUGGACUGACACUGACACUGAGGUGCGAAAGCGUGGGUAGCGAACAGGAUUAGAUACCCCUGUAGUC